UGGCGGGACGGGGUGGAGUAAUGUCUGGGAAACGGCCCGAUGGAGGGGGAUAACUACUGGAAACGGUAGCUAAUACCGCAUAACGUCGCAAGACCAAAGAGGGGGACCUUCGGGCCUCUUGCCAUCGGAUGUGCCCAGAUGGGAUUAGCUAGUAGGUGGGGUAACGGCUCACCUAGGCGACGAUCCCUAGCUGGUCUGAGAGGAUGACCAGCCACACUGGAACUGAGACACGGUCCAG
Molecule: ribosomal RNA, 238 nt
Filed under: uncultured bacterium
Lineage: Bacteria
Description: partial 16S ribosomal RNA
Rfam family: Bacterial small subunit ribosomal RNA
Source: RNAcentral